GGGGAAUCUUGCACAAUGGCGAAAGCCUGAUGCAGCGACGCCGCGUGCGGGAUGAAGGCCUUCGGGUUGUAAACCGCUUUCAGCAGGGACGAGGCCGCAAGGUGACGGUACCUGCAGAAGAAGCCCCGGCUAACUACGUGCCAGCAGCCGCGGUAAUACGUAGGGGGCAAGCGUUAUCCGGAUUCAUUGGGCGUAAAGAGCUCGUAGGCGGCCCGUUAGGUCAGGAGUCAAAUUCGGGGGCUCAACCCCCGCGCGCUUCUGAUACCGGCGGGCUUGAGGUUGGUAGGGGAAGGUGGAAUUCCCAGUGUAGCGGUGGAAUGCGCAGAUAUUGGGAAGAACACCGGUGGCGAAGGCGGCCUUCUGGGCCAUAACUGACGCUGAGGAGCGAAAGCUAGGGGAGCGAAC
This 405-nucleotide ribosomal RNA is filed under the name uncultured bacterium. RNAcentral's name for it is "bacterial SSU rRNA". It matches the Rfam family "Bacterial small subunit ribosomal RNA", at positions 356 to 773 of the family's 1533-position model. The record is from RNAcentral.